RNAcentral lists this ribosomal RNA (372 nucleotides) under uncultured organism. RNAcentral describes it as "bacterial SSU rRNA". It matches the Rfam family "Bacterial small subunit ribosomal RNA", at positions 526 to 896 of the family's 1533-position model. The record is from RNAcentral.
CGUAGGGGGCAAGCGUUGUCCGGAUUUAUUGGGCGUAAAGCGCUCGCAGGUGGUCCGUUGCGUCGUGCGUGAAAGACCCCGGCUCAACUGGGGAGUGUCGUGCGAUACGGGCGGACUGGAGGCCAGUAGGGGGAUGCGGAAUUCCGGGUGUAGUGGUGGAAUGCGUAGAGAUCCGGAGGAACACCAGCGGCGAAGGCGGCAUCCUGGACUGGUCCUGACACUCAGGAGCGAAAGCGUGGGGAGCGAUCCGGAUUAGAUACCCGGGUAGUCCACGCUGUAAACGAUGAGUACUAGGUGUCGGGGGUAUCGACCCCCUCGGUGCCGCAGCUAACGCGAUAAGUACUCCGCCUGGGGACUACGGCCGCAAGGCUA